CGCGGCCUAUCAGCUUGUUGGUGAGGUAAUGGCUCACCAAGGCGACGACGGGUAGCCGGCCUGAGAGGGUGACCGGCCACACUGGGACUGAGACACGGCCCAGACUCCUACGGGAGGCAGCAGUGGGGAAUAUUGCACAAUGGGCGCAAGCCUGAUGCAGCGACGCCGCGUGAGGGAUGACGGCCUUCGGGUUGUAAACCUCUUUCAGUAGGGAAGAAGCGAAAGUGACGGUACCUGCAGAAGAAGCACCGGCUAACUACGUGCCAGCAGCCGCGGUAAUACGUAGGGUGCGAGCGUUAUCCGGAAUUAUUGGGCGUAAAGAGCUCGUAGGCGGUUUGUCGCGUCUGUCGUGAAAGUCCGGGGCUUAACCCCGGAUCUGCGGUGGGUACGGGCAGACUAGAGUGCAGUAGGGGAGACUGGAAUUCCUGGUGUAGCGGUGGAAUGCGCAGAUAUCAGGAGGAACACCGAUGGCGAAGGCAGGUCUCUGGGCUGUAACUGACGCUGAGGAGCGAAAGCAUGGGGAGCGAACAGGAUUAGAUACCCUGGUAGUCCAUGCCGUAAACGUUGGGCACUAGGUGUGGGGACCAUUCCACGGUUUCCGCGCCGCAGCUAACGCAUUAAGUGCCCCGCCUGGGGAGUACGG
This 643-nucleotide ribosomal RNA is filed under the name uncultured bacterium. RNAcentral's name for it is "bacterial SSU rRNA". It matches the Rfam family "Bacterial small subunit ribosomal RNA", at positions 232 to 885 of the family's 1533-position model. The record is from RNAcentral. RNAcentral also lists the same sequence under 1 other name.